Long non-coding RNA from Gossypium raimondii (Peruvian cotton), 4340 nucleotides. RefSeq lists it as uncharacterized. The record is from RefSeq and is a predicted model, not a curated record. The transcript is spliced from 2 exons. NCBI's taxonomy places the organism in Eukaryota, Viridiplantae, Streptophyta, Magnoliopsida, Malvales, Malvaceae.
AUCAAACUCUUUUGAUAAUGGAUCAAAAAUAGGCCGAAAGAGAGUGUCUGAUAGAGAUAGCCCCUUUAGCAUUCAGCAUGUUUAGGUCAAAGGCUCGUUAGAUAAUAUGAAAAACAAGGUAGUGAGAAGUAUAGAGACAAAGAGUUCUAUUUCAAUUUUUGGGAAAGAAAACGCAAGUUUCAAGUUUGGAGAGAUGAGUAUGGCCGGGGAGAACACGAGACAAAGACCUACACUCAUGGAGAAAUUUCAACCAACAAGACCACCAGAUGUUGAGAUUAGGAGCUUUGAGCAUUCAAUGGUAGAGGUGGUGACGACUAUGAAGGGGCUUAUCAAUGGCAUUAAGUGUGACUCAACUACUAAAACUUUGGCCAAUAGUGACAGCAUGCUUGUGUAGGUAUCCGAUGAUGAGGCAAGCCUUAAUAUUGAGCCUAAUUGCUGAUGUUGAACUACUUGGGUAUGAGAAUCUUCUCUAUUUCCCUUUAAUUAUGAAUAUAAAAUUAUUCUUUUAGAACUAACAAGGAACUGGUCAUCCCCGUUUUCAUAAUUUUGUGAAAGAAUGCAUGAAGGAUUUUUCCACUGAUUUAAUUAGUCUAUUUAAGACUCGAAUUAGUGGGUCCAAGGCUGAUGAUAUUAUUGGCAAACUAGGUUAUCAAAAUUCUUUCAAAGUUGAAGUUGUUGGCUUUGUUGGGGGUAUCUAGAUUAUUUGGAAUGAUAGCAUUGAUGUUGAUUUCCUAGAUUUACAUCCCCAAAUGAUUCAUAUGAGAAUUCGCAGUAAAUAAGGGCCCUUCUAGUUUUUUAUGAUCAACUAUUUAUGCUAUUCCACAUUCAACAAAAAGGUGUUCUCUUCAGCAUUUUCUUAGAUUCAAUUGCAGGUUCAAUUGAUGAACCUUGGAUUACCGCUGGAGAUUUCAACUCAAUUUUGGAUAGUUCUUGCUAGAACAAGCUGUAACCUUUUCAGAUCGUUCUUAUUCAAAUACGGGCUUCAAGAUAUUUGGUUUUAUGGUCCUCGCUUUACAUGGAAUAGAGGCAAUAUUUUCCAACAGCUUGGUAGAGCCAUAUGCAACUCGAAUUGGCACCAAAUUGCUCUGUUUGACAUCUUCAUAGAUUAAAAUCUAAUCAUUGGCCAAUUUUGGUAUCUUUGAGCUCUAACUCUCAUAAUAUAGGUUUUUGUCCUUUUAGAUUUUUAGUAAGUUGGUUGCUACAUUCAGAGUUCAGGGACCUAGUUCGUAAUAACUGGAAGCAUGAUCUUGAGGUUGGUUCAAACUUGGAUCUGUUUAAGAUAGUGGCUCAAGACUUGAAUGAGCUUGUUUAUGGUAAUAUUUUUGCUUGGAAGAGGAAGUUGAUAGAAAAACUUAAUCGCGUACAGAGGAUUUUGAAGCUUCGAUCAUCAUGUCUACAAUCUCGUGAGAUUGAGUUGCGAAAAGAGAUUGAUGAUAUUUUAAAACAUGAGAAGCUUCUCUAGUUUUAGAAAUCACAGAUUGUUUGGCUUACGAAUGGUGAUAGAAAUACUAAGUAUUUUCAUAGUCGCACUUUAGCUAGGAGAAAGAGGAAUAAAAUUGAGGGAUUAAAAAUUUGUGAGUUAGGCUGGUGUUGUGGUACUGGUAUUUUAAAGCAACAUUUUGUGGAUUUUUUUUCCAGAACCUCUACACUAUUGAUAAUCAUGUAACAGGGACCUUCCCUUUUUUGAUAAGUUUCCUCCUUUAUCGGUAUAUGAUCGAGACAUGUUAUUGAUAGUGGCUACUAAUGAAGAAAUCUGUAGAGCUGUGUUUAGUAUGGCGUCUCUCAAAGCACAAAGGAUUGAUGGGUUUCACACAAAAUUUUACAAAUCACAUUGGGAAACUGUUGGCGAUUUUGUUUGUUCUCUUGAUAAAAAGGUACUUGGGGGCAUGUCUGGGAUCCCAAUCUCAACAAAACCUUGCUUGUUUUGAUUCCAAAAGUUUAAGGACUUGAAAACAUUUCUCGAUUUCAUCCAAUUAGCUUGUGUAUUGUUUUGUAUAAGAUCAUCACUAAAACCAUCGUUAAUCGACUUAGGCCGAUGAUGGAGAAUCUUGUUAAAAAAAACCAAGGAAGUUUCAUUGUAGGGAGGAAUAUAUCGGAUAACAUCAUUAUCGCACAAUAGGCUUUUCAUAUCAUGAAGACAGUCAAAUGAAGGAAAUGUUGGAUGGCUUUGAAGGUUAACUUGGAGAAAGCAUAUGAUAGGAUCUGUUGGGAUUUCUUAAAAGAUAUAUUUUGUUGGAUGCAGGUAUCCCAUCUUUUCUAAUUAAUGUAAUCAUGAAUUGUGUGUCUUCCUCUUCUUUACAUAUUCUUUGGAAUGGGGACAUCACUGAUCCUUUUUAUCCCACGUGAGGAAUACAGCAAGGGGCUCUAAUUUCUCCUUAUUUAUUCGUGUUGUGUAUGAAACAUUUUGGCCACCUAAUUGAUAGGGCAGUUGAGCAAAAAUGUUAGAGUCCUCUGUUAUUAUCAAGGCGAGGACCGACCAUUUCACAUCUUUUCUUUGCUAAUGUCUCAAUCUUGUUUUGUAAGGCAGAUAGGGAUCAAGCUGAACAUGUCAAUGUAAUUCUCAAUGCUUUUUGCCUCCUCUCUAGACAGAAGGUUAACAGAAACAAAACUCAAGUAUUCUUUUCUAGCAACACCCCGGAGGAAGUAGCUUGCGCAAUUUGUGGUGAUAUUGGAGUUUCGAGGGUGGAUGAUCUAGGUAAAUACCUUGGUAUGCUUAUUUUUCACAAGAGAGUUACAACAGAAACUUUUGAAUUUAUGGUUGAUAAGGUUCGAAACAAGCUCAAUCGUUGGGAGGUAAGGAAUCUCUCGAUGGUAGGAAAAAUUACUUUGGCUAAAUCAGUUCUCUUAGUUAUAUUUAGUUAUUUUAUGUGUACGACUCGUAUUCCUCUUUCUGUUUGUAAUGAAAUUGAGAUGCUGACUCAAAAUUUCAUUUGGGGAUUUAGUAUAGAGUCAAGAAAACCUGCCUUUCUAAAUUGGACUGAUUAUUGUAAGCCACUUGAUAAAUGGGGUUUUGGCAUCAGAAAUCUUGUUGAUCAAAACAAAUUUUUCUUAUUAAAGUUGGGCUUCAACAUUAUUUCCAAUCCUGAAAAUUUGUGGGUGCUUGUUUUGUGGAAUAAGUAGAAUGUUCAGAUAUUGAUGCUUAUCUCAAUUUCGAGGAGCAAUUGUUCUUUCAUUUGGCGGUCUAUUAUAAAGGUUUGGCCAGAGGUUAUUAGUGACACUUAUUGGUUGAUUGGUUAAUUUUUAGAAUGAUGUAUGGUUUAAACAAGUUGGUCCUCUUAAGUUAUUUUAUGAAGGACCUAGCUAGCCGAAUGAAACUCUCAGAGUGUGUGAUAUGAUUGAUGAUUCUGGAAAUUAGGACUGGUUUCAGGUUAACCUAUUGCUACCUAACCAUAUUCUUCUUUACAUUGUAGCUAUAUUACCUGCUUGUAAUGAUAUAGGGUAUGACCGAAUCACUUGGAAAUGGUCUGCCAACAAUUCCUUUUCUUUUGUUGAGUCUUAUAAGAACCUUUCCUCACUUGGUACUGUUGAUUCAUUUAUGAACUGGAACCUGAUUUGACGGAAUAAGGCCCCACAACGAGUUCGUGUUUUUCUUUGGAUGCUUUGGUAGAACCGGCUCUUGACCAAUGGUGAGUAGGCUCGAAGACACAUGACUAAUGAAGGACAUUGCCCUCGAUGCAACAAUUCCUUUGAGUCAGGAUUUACUUGGGCUAGAAGUAUUGUGAACUAAAGUUCAGUUGAGCUUUUUCGACAUUCAAAGGUCAUCCUUGCACAUUGGAUGCCAUCAAAGAUAGGGUGGAUCAAACUCAACAAGAUGGUGUUGUUUCGGCUCUUACUAAUAGUCCUUCGAUUGGAGGAGUUUUCAGAGAUUCUUGCGUGAAUUGGCUGUGUGGUUUUGCUAUAAGGACUGGGAAGGAUACAAUUUUCAAGGCGAAUCAAAAGUUGUUUUAGAAGGACUCACCAUAGCAUGAGAGACUGGUUUUAAGCAACUGGAGUUGGAACGUAAUAAUGCUUUGUUAGUUGAAACACUAAUAGCUAGAGAUGCUGCAAAAUGUUUACGCUUGAUCCAUCAACUCUUACGCCGCAACCGGGAAGUUCGGAUUCAACAUAUUCCCAGGGACCACAACAAAGUUGCCGAUCAUAUGGCUAAAAUUGCCAGCUUUAAUUACAACAACUUGUAGUUGUUUGAAGAACCUCCGUUCCUGGUCCAAGAACUACUUAAUGACCAUCUUGCUACUAUGUCCAAUAUCGCCUGUUAGUGUUUUCUUUACCUUAUAGCCACCAUUUUACUGUAUUUUUUCUAUCGAAAAAAUAAAAUUAAUGUAAUUAUCAUUAUCAAUUGA